GGUGUUGGAAUGGUCGGCAGAGUAACUGUUGCCGGCGUGACGGUAUCCAACCAGAAAGCCACGGCUAACUACGUGCCAGCAGCCGCGGUAAUACGUAGGUGGCAAGCGUUAUCCGGAUUUAUUGGGCGUAAAGCGAGCGCAGGCGGUUUUUUAAGUCUGAUGUGAAAGCCCUCGGCUUAACCGAGGAAGCGCAUCGGAAACUGGGAAACUUGAGUGCAGAAGAGGACAGUGGAACUCCAUGUGUAGCGGUGAAAUGCGUAGAUAUAUGGAAGAACACCAGUGGCGAAGGCGGCUGUCUGGUCUGUAACUGACGCUGAGGCUCGAAAGCAUGGGUAGCGAACAGGAUUAGAUACCCUGGUAGUCCAUGCCGUAAACGAUGAAUGCUAGGUGUUGGAGGGUUUCCGCCCUUCAGUGCCGCAGCUAACGCAUUAAGCAUUCCGCCUGGGGAGUACGACCGCAAGGUUGAAACUCAAAGGAAUUGACGGGGGCCCGCACAAGCGGUGGAGCAUGUGGUUUAAUUCGAAGCAACGCGAAGAACCUUACCAGGUCUUGACAUCUUUUGAUCACCUGAGAGAUCAGGUUUCCCCUUCGGGGGCAAAAUGACAGGUGGUGCAUGGUUGUCGUCAGCUCGUGUCGUGAGAUGUUGGGUUAAGUCCCGCAACGAGCGCAACCCUUAUGACUAGUUGCCAGCAUUUAGUUGGGCACUCUAGUAAGACUGCCAGUGACAAACCGGAGGAAGGUGGGGAUGACGUCAAAUCAUCAUGCCCCUUAUGACCUGGGCUACACACGUGCUACAAUGGAUGGUACAACGAGUUGCGAGACCGCGAGGUCAAGCUAAUCUCUUAAAGCCAUUCUCAGUUCGGACUGUAGGCUGCAACUCGCCUACACGAAGUCGGAAUCGCUAGUAAUCGCGGAUCAGCACGCCGCGGUGAAUACGUUCCCGGGCCUUGUACACACCGCCCGUCACACCAUGAGAGUUUGUAACACCCGAAGCCGGUGGCGUAACCCUUUUAGGGAGCGAGCCGUCUAAGGUGGGACAAAUGAUUAGGGUG
RNAcentral lists this ribosomal RNA (1052 nucleotides) under Lacticaseibacillus paracasei. RNAcentral describes it as "bacterial SSU rRNA". It matches the Rfam family "Bacterial small subunit ribosomal RNA", at positions 434 to 1482 of the family's 1533-position model. The record is from RNAcentral. Lineage: Bacteria; Bacillati; Bacillota; Bacilli; Lactobacillales; Lactobacillaceae.